RNAcentral lists this ribosomal RNA (253 nucleotides) under uncultured bacterium. Its description in RNAcentral is "partial 16S ribosomal RNA". It matches the Rfam family "Bacterial small subunit ribosomal RNA", at positions 524 to 776 of the family's 1533-position model. The record is from RNAcentral.
UACAGAGGGGGCAAGCGUUGUUCGGAAUUACUGGGCGUAAAGGGCGCGUAGGCGGCCUUCUAAGUCAGACGUGAAAUCCCCCGGCUUAACCUGGGAACUGCGUCUGAUACUGGGAGGCUUGAGUAUGGGAGAGGGAAGCGGAAUUUCUGGUGUAGCAGUGAAAUGCGUAGAUAUCAGAAGGAACAUCAGUGGCGAAGGCGGCUUCCUGGACCAAUACUGACGAUCAGGUGCGAAAGCGUGGGGAGCAAACAGG